RNAcentral lists this ribosomal RNA (497 nucleotides) under uncultured bacterium. RNAcentral's name for it is "partial 16S ribosomal RNA". It matches the Rfam family "Bacterial small subunit ribosomal RNA", at positions 28 to 507 of the family's 1533-position model. The record is from RNAcentral.
GAUGAACGCUGGCGGCGUGCCUAAUACAUGCAAGUCGAGCGAACGGACGAGAAGCUUGCUUCUCUAAUGUUAGCGGCGGACGGGUGAGUAACACGUGGAUAACCUACCUAUAAGACUGGGAUAACUUCGGGAAACCGUAGCUAAUACCGGAUAAUAUUUCGAACCGCAUGGUUCAAAAGUGAAAGACGGUCUUGCUGUCACUUAUAGAUGGAUCCGCGCUGCAUUAGCUAGUUGGUAAGGUAACGGCUUACCAAGGCAACGAUGCAUAGCCGACCUGAGAGGGUGAUCGGCCACACUGGAACUGAGACACGGUCCAGACUCCUACGGGAGGCAGCAGUAGGGAAUCUUCCGCAAUGGGCGAAAGCCUGACGGAGCAACGCCGCGUGAGUGAUGAAGGUCUUCGGAUCGUAAAACUCUGUUAUUAGGGAAGAACAUAUGUGUAAGUAACUGUGCACAUCUUGACGGUACCUAAUCAGAAAGCCACGGCUAACUACGUG